CAAAUCACACACACACAAACUCCUAUGUCAAGAGAAAGUGCUUCAACCCAUCAACAUGCAUGGUAAUGCUCCUAAAUGCAAUUGUCAACAAAACUGCAUUAUUUUCAUCUCAAAUACAGCUAAGAAUCCCAACAGACGAUUCUUUGGAUGUCCCUAUUUUAAGUAUUUUUGACUAUUGCAGCAAAAUAGUAAGUCAUAUUGUAACUAUUUCAUGUGGGAGGAUGAAUUUGUUGAAUCCCAAGCUACAAUGGUUGAGUUGGUGGAAACGACAUAUGAGAGAGAUACGGAAGUCAUAAUAAUUGAAAUGAAGAGAGAAAUGGAGAGGAAUAUGGAAGUCAGAGAAAUUCAAAUUAAGAAAACGGGUUGCAGAUCAUGUGUUUGGAUGGUGGGGAUUUUGAUUGUGGCUUUGGUUGUAUACAUUUGUCUUUGGAAGUAAACAAAAUUGUCUAAGUGAUGUAUUAUUAGACUUUCCUUUGUAUGUUUUAAUCAACUAUGUGUCGUAAUGAUAUGUAUACAAAAUUGUCUUAGCGGUGUUUCAAUUGUUUAUCACUUCAUCAUUUUUUAUACUUCUUAAUGUUGGAAAAA
This is a non-coding RNA of Cicer arietinum (chickpea), 585 nucleotides long. Lineage: Eukaryota; Viridiplantae; Streptophyta; Magnoliopsida; Fabales; Fabaceae. The record is from RefSeq and is a predicted model, not a curated record.